This 476-nucleotide small RNA is filed under the name Histoplasma capsulatum. RNAcentral describes it as "hypothetical RNA". Lineage: Eukaryota; Fungi; Ascomycota; Eurotiomycetes; Onygenales; Ajellomycetaceae. The record is from RNAcentral. RNAcentral also lists the same sequence under 1 other name.
AGAAGUUCAUUAGCGUCACGCGGUGACUAUGUGGCUGGGUGAUAUAUUCUCCCGGCUGUAUAUUGAACUGCGACCCAAGGCAGCCCGGAGUGCCGGCAAAGGUCUAGGCAAGAGCAGUACAGAGGUAUCAAAGUCAUUCGUCAGAUGAUGUAGAUUUCAAAAGUUCAAUGAAGACAAAAUAAUUAUUCAUAUGUCUAUCACAAAUUAGUUAUUAUCUUCCAACAUACAGAGCAAUCUAGACACUAGAACAUGAGAAGGAUGUAGAAGAUGGAAGAGCGACAAAAGUAGCAUUUAAUUAAGUUGGGUUAUUGCUAUUUUGUCAAAAGCCACAAAUAAGCGUCUAAGAGAUAUAUGUCAUAAUUAACGUAAUCCAGUUGCGUCCCGCUAGUUGUGACACGAAGUUUGGCACACAGAGGCCGUAGGGGAGAAAAUGCGCCAUAAUCACGCUAAAACCACCUAAAAACGGUUGUGCUGCG